UAAGGAAUAUUGCGCAAUGGGCGAAAGCCUGACGCAGCCACGCCGCGUGGAGGAAGACACCCCUAUGGGGCGUAAACUCCUUUUAUAUGAGAAGAAUGCCUUGGUCGCCAAGGAGAGACGGUAUCAUAUGAAUAAGCACCGGCUAACUCCGUGCCAGCAGCCGCGGUAAUACGGAGGGUGCAAGCGUUGUCCGGAUUCACUGGGUGUAAAGGGUGUUCAGGCGGAGCAGACAGUCAGUGGUGAAAGCCCGUGGCUUAACCAUGGAACUGCCAUUGAUACUACUGCUCUUGAGUACUGGAGAGGCUACUAGAAUUCGUGGUGUAGCGGUGAAAUGCGUAGAUAUCACGAGGAAUACCAGAGGCGUAAGCGGGUAGCUGGACAGAUACUGACGCUGAAGCACGAAAGCGUGGGGAGCAAACAGGAUUAGAUACCCGUGUAGUCC
This 442-nucleotide ribosomal RNA is filed under the name uncultured prokaryote. Its description in RNAcentral is "bacterial SSU rRNA". It matches the Rfam family "Bacterial small subunit ribosomal RNA", at positions 355 to 796 of the family's 1533-position model. The record is from RNAcentral.